UGUCUGCCUCAGCGUCGGUUUGCACCCUCGCCCCCCUCUCCCUGAGUCGGGGUGCGGACCUGGCCCUCCCGGCCUCCGCCUGCGCUUGUCGCUGGCGCCCGGGUUGGCUGAAGCACAGAGGCUUGAGCAUGGACCCCGUUUGCAGGGCAAUGGCUUGGUAGGUAGGCACCCCCUACACACGCCUGCCGUUGUCCGAGGGGACUUUGCUGGAGGCCCCGCAGGAAUCCGGUGCGUGCGCCCCCGCGCCGCCCAGGAGCUCUCACUCAU
Molecule: unclassified non-coding RNA, 267 nt
Filed under: Crucigenia lauterbornii
Lineage: Eukaryota; Viridiplantae; Chlorophyta; Chlorophyceae; Sphaeropleales; Scenedesmaceae
Description: internal transcibed spacer 2
Source: RNAcentral